UGGGAACAGAUUUUUUAAUAAGCAAACUCAAUUUACGAGUUGAACAUUUUCUAAAAUUAAAAGAUAUUAGCCCUAAAACGACAAAAAACAAAAACCAAAACUACAUGAGUAAAAAGCAAUUAAUGUCCGCGCGAUUUAGGACUAGCAGACAACAACCAAAAACAAAUAAAACAAAAAAACAGAAACAAAAAAGUUAUAUACACGAAAUGUUCAUUGUAAAGUUAGUUAAGGGCUUGAGAACUAAAGAAUAAAUCGGGAGCAUGGCGGAGGAUGAUUCGAACAAAUACUAAGUGCAUUAUGCGUUGGAAGGGGACAGGAGAUGAAAACCAUUUACUAGCCUAAAAGUAUUCAAUUAUUAAGUGAACUUAGUUGGAGCGCCUAAAAGAUGGUCGGUCAAGGUGGUUUUUGCUGGAAUGAUAUAUGAAACCAAAAACAACCCCGAAGAUGCAAUUGUUUCUAAAACAAAUAAGAUAGAAUAACGGGCGCCACACACAACCACACACACACACACACACACACACUAUGUACACACACACACAACACCUACAUACAUUAGGAUCGGAAUGAAAAAAUCUAGCUACAGAAUUGCAUAUUAUAUACAUACAUCUAUAUAUACAUACAAGUACACUUUAUAUAUAUAUAUGUAAUGGGCAGAAAACAAAAUGUUGUUGUAGUGCAAUUACAAUUAAGUUUUGUUUUGCCACCAAAUCCAGAGUAAAUACCAAACCGCAGAUACAUAAUGUAUACAUACAUAGUACAUAUGUGAGUACAUAUGCAUAGCAAAAAGGUCAAAAAGUGGGUCAAGAUUUUUAAGAUGACGAAAGAGAACAACUGAUUGUUUGUAAUUCCUUUUACAGGCAAUGAUACCAAACAAAAAAAUACAAAAAAAAAAAAGAAAACUAAAAACAAG
RNAcentral lists this long non-coding RNA (910 nucleotides) under Drosophila guanche. Lineage: Eukaryota; Metazoa; Arthropoda; Insecta; Diptera; Drosophilidae. The record is from RNAcentral.